GACGAACGCUGGCGGCGUGCCUAAUACAUGCAAGUAGAACGCUGAAGGAGGAGCUUGCUCUUCUGGAUGAGUUGCGAACGGGUGAGUAACGCGUAGGUAACCUGCCUGGUAGCGGGGGAUAACUAUUGGAAACGAUAGCUAAUACCGCAUAAGAGUAGCUGUUGCAUGACAUUUACUUAAAAGUUGCAAUUGCAUCACUACCAGAUGGACCUGCGUUGUAUUGGCUAGUUGGUGGGGUAACGGCUUACCAAGGCGACGAUACAUAGCCGACCUGAGAGGGUGGUCGGCCAAACUGGGACGGAGACACGGCACAGACUCAUACGGGAGGCAGCAGUAGGGAAUCGUCGGCAAGGGACGGAAGUCUGACCGAGAAAGGCGGCGUGAGGGAAGAAGGUUGUCGGAUCGUAAAGAUCGGUUGUAAGAGAAGAAAGAGGGUGAGAGUGGAAAGUUCACACUGUGACGGUAUCUGACCAGAAAGGGACGGCUAACUACGUG
RNAcentral lists this ribosomal RNA (495 nucleotides) under uncultured bacterium. RNAcentral describes it as "partial 16S ribosomal RNA". It matches the Rfam family "Bacterial small subunit ribosomal RNA", at positions 28 to 507 of the family's 1533-position model. The record is from RNAcentral.